GCACUGGUGGUUCAGUGGUAGAAUGCUCGCCUACCAGGCGGGCGGCCUAGGUUCGAUUCCUGGUCAGUGCU
This is a non-coding RNA of Cotesia glomerata, 71 nucleotides long. NCBI's taxonomy places the organism in Eukaryota, Metazoa, Arthropoda, Insecta, Hymenoptera, Braconidae. The record is from the annotation of a RefSeq genome assembly.